RNAcentral lists this ribosomal RNA (250 nucleotides) under uncultured bacterium. RNAcentral describes it as "partial 16S ribosomal RNA". It matches the Rfam family "Archaeal small subunit ribosomal RNA", at positions 474 to 723 of the family's 1478-position model. The record is from RNAcentral. RNAcentral also lists the same sequence under 1 other name.
UACCGGCGGCUCGAGUGGUGGCCGCUAUUACUGGGCUUAAAGGGUCCGUAGCUGGAUAUACAAGUCCCUUGAGAAAUCCGCCGGCUUAACCGGUGGGCGUUCAGGGGAAACUGUAUUUCUAGGGACCGGGAGAGGUGAGAGGUACUGCCGGGGUAGGAGUGAAAUCCUGUAAUCCCGGUGGGACCACCUAUGGCGAAGGCAUCUCACCAGAACGGGUCCGACAGUGAGGGACGAAAGCUGGGGGAGCAAA